CAAGCGGUGGAUUAUGUGGAUUAAUUCGAUGCAACGCGAAAAACCUUACCUACCCUUGACAUGUCGAGAAUCCCGGAGAGAUUUGGGAGUGCCCGAAAGGGAACUUGAACACAGGUGCUGCAUGGCUGUCGUCAGCUCGUGUCGUGAGAUGUUGGGUUAAGUCCCGCAACGAGCGCAACCCUUGUCAUUAAUUGCCAUCAUUUAGUUGGGCACUUUAAUGAGACUGCCGGUGAUAAACCGGAGGAAGGUGGGGAUGACGUCAAGUCCUCAUGGCCCUUAUGGGUAGGGCUUCACACGUAAUACAAUGGUCGGUACAGAGGGUUGCCAACCCGCGAGGGGGAGCCAAUCUCAGAAAGCCGAUCGUAGUCCGGAUUGUUCUCUGCAACUCGAGAGCAUGAAGUCGGAAUCGCUAGUAAUCGCGGAUCAGCAUGUCGCGGUGAAUACGUUCCCGGGUCUUGUACACACC
Molecule: ribosomal RNA, 466 nt
Filed under: uncultured bacterium
Lineage: Bacteria
Description: bacterial SSU rRNA
Rfam family: Bacterial small subunit ribosomal RNA
Source: RNAcentral